This 301-nucleotide ribosomal RNA is filed under the name uncultured bacterium. RNAcentral describes it as "partial 16S ribosomal RNA". It matches the Rfam family "Bacterial small subunit ribosomal RNA", at positions 509 to 809 of the family's 1533-position model. The record is from RNAcentral.
CAGUAGCCGCGGGAAAACGGAGGGUGCGAGCGUUAAUCGGAAUUACUGGGCGUAAAGCGUGCGUAGGCGGUUCGUUAAGUCUGUUGUGAAAGCCCCGGGCUCAACCUGGGAAUGGCAAUGGAUACUGGCGAGCUAGAGUGUGUCAGAGGAUGGUGGAAUUCCCGGUGUAGCGGUGAAGUGCGUAGAGAUCGGGAGGAACAUCAGUGGCGAAGGCGGCCAUCUGGGACAACACUGACGCUGAGGCACGAAAGCGUGGGGAGCAAACAGGAUUAGAUACCCGUGUAGUCCCUGUCUCUUAUAA